Molecule: ribosomal RNA, 368 nt
Filed under: uncultured organism
Description: bacterial SSU rRNA
Rfam family: Bacterial small subunit ribosomal RNA
Source: RNAcentral
CGGAGGGUGCAAGCGUUAUCCGGAUUUAUUGGGUUUAAAGGGUCCGUAGGCGGAUGUGUAAGUCAGUGGUGAAAUCUCGCAGCUUAACUGUGAAACUGCCAUUGAUACUGCAUGUCUUGAGUGUUAUCGAAGUAGCUGGAAUAAGUAGUGUAGCGGUGAAAUGCAUAGAUAUUACUUAGAACACCAAUUGCGAAGGCAGGUUACUAAGCAACAACUGACGCUGAUGGACGAAAGCGUGGGGAGCGAACAGGAUUAGAUACCCUGGUAGUCCACGCCGUAAACGAUGCUAACUCGUUUUUGGGCUUUCGGGUUCAGAGACUAAGCGAAAGUGAUAAGUUAGCCACCUGGGGAGUACGUUCGCAAGAAUG